UUCCUACGGGGGGCAGCAGUAGGGAAUUUUCGUCAAUGGGCGCAAGCCUGAACGAGCAAUGCCGCGUGAACGAGGCAGGUCUUCGGCUCGUCCCGUUCUGUUGCCGGGGCCCACGAGCGGAGAGAGGAAAUGAACUCCGAUUGAUAUUACCCUUCGAGGAAGUCACGGCUAACUACGUGCCAGCAGCCGCGGUAAUACGUAGGUGGCGAGCGUUAUCCGGAAUGAUUGGGCGUAAAGGGUGCGUAGGCGGCCUGCUAAGUCUGGAGUGAAAGGUACCGGCUCAACCGGUACAGGCUCUGGAAACA
RNAcentral lists this ribosomal RNA (305 nucleotides) under uncultured bacterium. RNAcentral describes it as "bacterial SSU rRNA". It matches the Rfam family "Bacterial small subunit ribosomal RNA", at positions 336 to 634 of the family's 1533-position model. The record is from RNAcentral.